AUGAAGACAAUUCUCAGACUGUCAACAUUAAAAUGUCAGCAUCACUCUGAAGGGGUUCACAAUCAGUGUGAAGGGCCCCAGGGGGACACUGCAGAGGGACUUCAAUCACAUUGAUAUAGAGCUGAGUCUCCUUGAAAACAAAGAGAGGCUCUGGGUUGACAAAUGGUGGGGUAACAGAGGACCUGGCUGGCCACUGUCAGAAGCAUGUGCAGUCAUGCUCAGAACUCGAUCAAGGAUGUCGCGCUGGGCUCUUGUCACAAGAUGAGGUUUGUGUAGGCUCACGUCCUCAGCAAUGUCGUUAUCCAGGAGAAUGUUUCUGUGGUGGAAAUCUGAAACUUCUUGGGUGAAAAAUCCAUCCACAGGGUUCUGGUAAGGACAGGUGUUGCUUGUUCUGUCUCUCGAGCCCAGAGGAAUGAAUUGAUCCUUGAAGGAGAUGAUAUUGAACUUGUUUCAAAUUCAUUGGCUCUGAUUCGGCAAGCCAUACACUUAAAAACAAGGAUCUCAGAGUUUUAGGAUGGCAUCUACGUGUCUGAAAAGGGAACCAUGAAGCAGGCUGACAAGUGAGA
RNAcentral lists this long non-coding RNA (566 nucleotides) under Mus musculus (house mouse). RNAcentral's name for it is "long non-coding RNA chr16:3927605-3928171". Lineage: Eukaryota; Metazoa; Chordata; Mammalia; Rodentia; Muridae. The record is from RNAcentral.